AAUGAACGCUGGCGGCAUGCCUAACACAUGCAAGUCGAACGACAGCGUGGGCUUCUGCCUCGCCUGGAGUUGUAAACGGGUGAGUAAUGCACCUGAACUUGCCCUAUCUUUGGGAAUGGGCUGGCUAAAGCCGAAUUAAUCUCGCAUCCGAACUUAUAUUGAAAGUGGUUGACCAAAAGUCCUAGCAGUUUUUGAUCAGCCUAAGAGGCAUUAGCUAGUAGGAUUGGUAACUGCUUAACAAGGCGACGAUCCGUAGCUGGUCUGAGAAGACGACCGGCCACACUGGGACUGAGACACGGCCCAGACUCCUACGGGAGGCAGCAGUGGGGAAUCUUGCGCAAUGGGGGAAAGCGUGAUCUAGCAAAGCCGCGUGAGGGAUGAAGGACUUCGGGUUGUAAAGCGCUGUUGUUCGGGAAGAAGUAAUGUGGGUUUACCCACGGGGGUGAUGACGGUACCGGAAGAAUAAGCACCGGCUAACUACGUG
RNAcentral lists this ribosomal RNA (484 nucleotides) under uncultured bacterium. RNAcentral's name for it is "partial 16S ribosomal RNA". It matches the Rfam family "Bacterial small subunit ribosomal RNA", at positions 29 to 507 of the family's 1533-position model. The record is from RNAcentral.